AUCCAGCUGACGAGUCCCAAAUAGGACGAAACUCGCUUUGUCCUGGAU
Molecule: non-coding RNA, 48 nt
Organism: Schistosoma margrebowiei
Lineage: Eukaryota; Metazoa; Platyhelminthes; Trematoda; Strigeidida; Schistosomatidae
Source: Rfam